CCACUCCAGUGUGUCCAUGCAGUGACAUCCACGGGCCUGCCUAAGCAGCAAGUAGAAGGAAACAAAAUGGAGUCCUGCAUCCCUGAAAAUGAGACGCAGCGGAAAUUCUGUUGUUCUUUCUUCCCAAGAUCAUGCAUUAACAGCAUUCUGGCAGGACUAAGCAGCCCACAUCCUGGUUGCCCACUGCUGUCCACCUCAUCAAACAGAGUGACCUCACAAAGGUAUGAAGCUUCAGUUUGCUGUGGGGAUGCUGCUCCUCUGCCUCAUGUUUGCAGGUGCUGGAGAACAAAG
Long non-coding RNA from Passer montanus (Eurasian tree sparrow), 291 nucleotides. RefSeq lists it as uncharacterized. Lineage: Eukaryota; Metazoa; Chordata; Aves; Passeriformes; Passeridae. The transcript is spliced from 3 exons. The record is from RefSeq and is a predicted model, not a curated record.